CCUACGGGAGGCAGCAGUGGGGGAUAUUGCACAAUGGGGGAAACCCUGAUGCAGCGACGCCGCGUGGGUGAAGAAGUAUUUCGGUAUGUAAAGCCCUAUCAGCAGGGAAGAAAGAAGACGGUACCUGACUAAGAAGCCCCGGCUAACUACGUGCCAGCAGCCGCGGUAAUACGUAGGGGGCGAGCGUUAUCCGGAUUCACUGGGUGUAAAGGGAGCGUAGACGGCCGUGCAAGCCAGGAGUGAAAGCCCGGGGCCCAACCCCGGGACUGCUCUUGGAACUGGGCGGCUGGAGUGCGGGAGGGGCAAGCGGAAUUCCUGGUGUAGCGGUGAAAUGCGUAGAUAUCAGGAGGAACACCGGCGGCGAAGGCGGCCUGCUGGACCGCGACUGACGUUGAGGCUCGAAAGCGUGGGGAGCGAACAGGAUUAGAUACCCGAGUAGUC
This 441-nucleotide ribosomal RNA is filed under the name uncultured bacterium. Its description in RNAcentral is "partial 16S ribosomal RNA". It matches the Rfam family "Bacterial small subunit ribosomal RNA", at positions 338 to 795 of the family's 1533-position model. The record is from RNAcentral.